This 879-nucleotide ribosomal RNA is filed under the name uncultured bacterium. RNAcentral describes it as "partial 16S ribosomal RNA". It matches the Rfam family "Bacterial small subunit ribosomal RNA", at positions 28 to 896 of the family's 1533-position model. The record is from RNAcentral.
AGUGAACGCUGGCGGCGUGCUUAACACAUGCAAGUCGAGCGGUAUUUGACAGCUUAUCGUCAGAUAUAGCGGCAGACGGGUGAGUAAUACUUAGGUAAUUUGCCUUCGAGAGGGAAACAACCUGCCGAAAGGUGGGCUAAUGUCCCAUAAGACCACAGGGUCGCAUGAUCCAGGGGUAAAAGCUUCGCAAGGGGCACUUGAAGAGAAACCUGAGGCCUAUCACGGUAGUUGGCGGGGUAACGGCCCACCAAGCCUAUGACGGGUAGCCGGCCUGAAAGGGUGAUCGGCCACACUGGCACUGAGACACGGGCCGGACUCCUACGGGAGGCAGCAGUGGGGAAUUUUGGACAAUGGGGGCAACCCUGAUCCAGCGACGCCGCGUGAAGGACGAAGGUCUUCGGAUUGUAAACUUCUUUUGAAGGGGAAGAAUCCCUGAGUGAAGAACUCAGGCUGACUGUACUCUUCGAAUAAGCCACGGCUAACUACGUGCCAGCAGCCGCGGUAAUACGUAGGUGGCAAGCGUUACUCGGAAUCACUAGGCGUAAAGCGCAGGUAGGCGGUUUGGAAAGUCUGUUGUGAAAGCUCCCGGCUUAACUGGGAGAGGUCAACGGAUACUUCUAGACUAGAGUGUGGUAGAGGAAACUGGAAUUCCCGGUGUAGCGGUGAAAUGCGUAGAUAUCGGGAGGAACACCUAUGGCGAAAGCAGGUUUCUGGGCCAUCACUGACGCUGAGCUGCGAAAGCUAGGGGAGCAAACAGGAUUAGAUACCCUGGUAGUCCUAGCCCUAAACGAUGCUCAUUAGAUGUGGGAGGUAUCGACCCCUUCCGCGUCGAAACUAACGUAUUAAAUGAGCCGCCUGGGGAGUACGGCCGCAAGGUUG